RNAcentral lists this long non-coding RNA (478 nucleotides) under Parus major (Great Tit). Its description in RNAcentral is "lncRNA (ENSPMJG00000012817.1)". The record is from RNAcentral. Lineage: Eukaryota; Metazoa; Chordata; Aves; Passeriformes; Paridae.
CCUACAGCUACUGAGGUUUGACAUAACAUGCAUGGGCCAGAACUACCCACUGUAUUUUGUUCAUAGUCCAAACAAAACUGCUUGUUUGGUUCCUAGCUUUGGUUAAUUGUUCUGUCUCCUUUUCAGACUCCUUUUACCUUGUGAGAAGCAGUGCUGCCUUUACUACUGUUACAGGAAUGUCCCAAGCUCAAAGAUUUGUGCCACUAUCUGAAGAAUACCAGAUCAUGCUCAGCUCUCAGGAUCUUACUCUUCAGGUGUGCUGGCAGAAGAGUUCCUCAGGACAGCAGCCCCAUGUGACAUUGGGAGCAGUAUCACAGACUUCAUGCCCUCAUGUGUUCUGAGGAGGACAAAAAUCCCAUUUCCUGGUGGAUUUUGAAAUUGUGCCAGAUACAGCAAAUGCAGGAGAUGUCAGAAUUCUCUGCAGUGGAAAUUAAAAAAGUAAUACCCUUUCAGGUAGUUCAGAGCAGCUCCCUUUUAA